This 285-nucleotide long non-coding RNA is filed under the name Elaeis guineensis (African oil palm). RNAcentral describes it as "long non-coding RNA (EGUI_LNC009333)". Lineage: Eukaryota; Viridiplantae; Streptophyta; Magnoliopsida; Arecales; Arecaceae. The record is from RNAcentral.
UGUUGCGGCCAAUCGCCUCGUCGUCCGAUCGUCGGGGAGCGUGCACCUGCAAAAGGAAGUCCGCACUGACCGGAGGCGGCUCCGGCGGGGACCCUCCGAUGGUCAAGUCAGAGAGGUGACUGGGCAACAGUAAAAUGCAGACAGAGAGCUCUGAGAGAGAGAGAGAGGGAGAGAGGAGCGAGCCUGCGUAUGUGGGAGAGACGGGCGGAUCGAUCCCUUGCACUGUUGCCUUCCCCGGUAUAUAUAGUGGAGCUAAGUAUGGCGCCGUCAUUAAUGGCGCGGACA